ACUCUAAGCGGUGGAUCACUCGGCUCAUGGGUCGAUGAAGAACGCAGCAAACUGUGCGUCAUCGUGUGAACUGCAGGACACAUGAACAUCGACAUUUUGAACGCAUAUCGCAGUCCAUGCUGUUAUGUACUUUAAUUAAUUUUAUAGUGCUGCUUGGACUACAUAUGGUUGAGGGUUGUAAGACUAUGCUAAUUAAGUUGCUUAUAAAUUUUUAUAAGCAUAUGGUAUAUUAUUGGAUAAAUAUAAUAAUUUUUAUUCAUAAUAUUAAAAAAUAAAUGAAAAACAUUAUCUCACAUUUGAAUGUGAAAAACGAAGAGAAAUAUUUUCUUUUUCAAUCAAAUAAUACUGAGAAAUGUCUAGCAUAAAAAAUUGAAAUAUUUUUCAUCUAGAAUUGUCUCUUAUUAAUGAUUCGGAAAUAGAAAAAUCUUGGUUAUGUUAUUAUUCUUCGUUGGUUCGUUAAAAAUGGAUAAAUAAAAACUUUGCAUACAAGAAUUAAUAAAAAUGUUAUAACGAAUUUAAUUAAAUGUUUUAUCAUUAUAUAUAAAGAAUUUAUGGCAAGAUAAAGUUAUAUACAACCUCAACUCAUAUGGGACUACCCCCUGAAUUUAAGCAUAUUAAUUAGGGGAGGAAAAGAAACUAACAAGGAUUUUCUUAGUAGCGGCGAGCGAAAAGAAAACAGUUCAGCACUAAGUCACUUUGUCUAUAUGGCAAAUGUGAGAUGCAGUGUAUGGAGCGUCAAUAUUCUAGUAUGAGAAAUUAACGAUUUAAGUCCUUCUUAAAUGAGGCCAUUUACCCAUAGAGGGUGCCAGGCCCGUAUAACGUUAAUGAUUACUAGAUGAUGUUUCCAAAGAGUCGUGUUGCUUGAUAGUGCAGCACUAAGUGGGUGGUAAACUCCAUCUAAAACUAAAUAUAACCAUGAGACCGAUAGUAAACAAGUACCGUGAGGGAAAGUUGAAAAGAACUCUGAAUAGAGAGUUAAACAGUACGUGAAACUGCUUAGAGGUUAAGCCCGAUGAACCUGAAUAUCCGUUAUGGAAAAUUCAUCAUUAAAAUUGUAAUAUUUAAAUAAUAUUAUGAGAAUAGUGUGCAUUUUUUCCAUAUAAGGACAUUGUAAUCUAUUAGCAUAUACCAAAUUUAUCAUAAAAUAUAACUUAUAGUUUAUUCCAAUUAAAUUGCUUGCAUUUUAACACAGAAUAAAUGUUAUUAAUUUGAUAAAGUGCUGAUAGAUUUAUAUGAUUACAGUGCGUUAAUUUUUCGGAAUUAUAUAAUGGCAUAAUUAUCAUUGAUUUUUGUGUUUAUUAUAUGCACUUGUAUGAUUAACAAUGCGAAAGAUUCAGGAUACCUUCGGGACCCGUCUUGAAACACGGACCAAGGAGUCUAACAUAUGUGCAAGUUAUUGGGAUAUAAACCUAAUAGCGUAAUUAACUUGACUAAUAAUGGGAUUAGUUUUUUAGCUAUUUAUAGCUAAUUAACACAAUCCCGGGGCGUUCUAUAUAGUUAUGUAUAAUGUAUAUUUAUAUUAUUUAUGCCUCUAACUGGAACGUACCUUGAGCAUAUAUGCUGUGACCCGAAAGAUGGUGAACUAUACUUGAUCAGGUUGAAGUCAGGGGAAACCCUGAUGGAAGACCGAAACAGUUCUGACGUGCAAAUCGAUUGUCAGAAUUGAGUAUAGGGGCGAAAGACCAAUCGAACCAUCUAGUAGCUGGUUCCUUCCGAAGUUUCCCUCAGGAUAGCUGGUGCAUUUUAAUAUUAUAUAAAAUAAUCUUAUCUGGUAAAGCGAAUGAUUAGAGGCCUUAGGGUCGAAACGAUCUUAACCUAUUCUCAAACUUUAAAUGGGUAAGAACCUUAACUUUCUUGAUAUGAAGUUCAAGGUUAUGAUAUAAUGUGCCCAGUGGGCCACUUUUGGUAAGCAGAACUGGCGCUGUGGGAUGAACCAAACGUAAUGUUACGGUGCCCAAAUUAACAACUCAUGCAGAUACCAUGAAAGGCGUUGGUUGCUUAAAACAGCAGGACGGUGAUCAUGGAAGUCGAAAUCCGCUAAGGAGUGUGUAACAACUCACCUGCCGAAGCAACUAGCCCUUAAAAUGGAUGGCGCUUAAGUUGUAUACCUAUACAUUACCGCUAAAGUAGAUGAUUUAUAUUACUUGUGAUAUAAAUUUUGAAACUUUAGUGAGUAGGAAGGUACAAUGGUAUGCGUAGAAGUGUUUGGCGUAAGCCUGCAUGGAGCUGCCAUUGGUACAGAUCUUGGUGGUAGUAGCAAAUAAUCGAAUGAGACCUUGGAGGACUGAAGUGGAGAAGGGUUUCGUGUGAACAGUGGUUGAUCACGAGUUAGUCGGUCCUAAGUUCAAGGCGAAAGCCGAAAAUUUUCAAGUAAAACAAAAAUGCCUAACUAUAUAAACAAAGCGAAUUAUAAUACACUUGAAUAAUUUUGAACGAAAGGGAAUACGGUUCCAAUUCCGUAACCUGUUGAGUAUCCGUUUGUUAUUAAAUAUGGGCCUCGUGCUCAUCCUGGCAACAGGAACGACCAUAAAGAAGCCGUCGAGAGAUAUCGGAAGAGUUUUCUUUUCUGUUUUAUAGCCGUACUACCAUGGAAGUCUUUCGCAGAGAGAUAUGGUAGAUGGGCUAGAAGAGCAUGACAUAUACUGUUGUGUCGAUAUUUUCUCCUCGGACCUUGAAAAUUUAUGGUGGGGACACGCAAACUUCUCAACAGGCCGUACCAAUAUCCGCAGCUGGUCUCCAAGGUGAAGAGUCUCUAGUCGAUAGAAUAAUGUAGGUAAGGGAAGUCGGCAAAUUAGAUCCGUAACUUCGGGAUAAGGAUUGGCUCUGAAGAUUGAGAUAGUCGGGCUUGAUUGGGAAACAAUAACAUGGUUUAUGUGCUCGUUCUGGGUAAAUAGAGUUUCUAGCAUUUAUGUUAGUUACUUGUUCCCCGGAUAGUUUAGUUACGUAGCCAAUUGUGGAACUUUCUUGCUAAAAUUUUUAAGAAUACUAUUUGGGUUAAACCAAUUAGUUCUUAUUAAUUAUAACGAUUAUCAAUUAACAAUCAAUUCAGAACUGGCACGGACUUGGGGAAUCCGACUGUCUAAUUAAAACAAAGCAUUGUGAUGGCCCUAGCGGGUGUUGACACAAUGUGAUUUCUGCCCAGUGCUCUGAAUGUCAAAGUGAAGAAAUUCAAGUAAGCGCGGGUCAACGGCGGGAGUAACUAUGACUCUCUUAAGGUAGCCAAAUGCCU
RNAcentral lists this ribosomal RNA (3229 nucleotides) under Drosophila melanogaster (fruit fly). RNAcentral's name for it is "eukaryotic LSU rRNA". The stretch from base 573 to 3229 matches the Rfam family "Eukaryotic large subunit ribosomal RNA", at positions 1 to 2292 of the family's 3401-position model. The record is from RNAcentral. Lineage: Eukaryota; Metazoa; Arthropoda; Insecta; Diptera; Drosophilidae.